GACGAACGCUGGCGGCGUGCUUAACACAUGCAAGUCGAACGGAAAGGCCCUGCUUUUGUUGGUUGCUCGAGUGGCGAACGGGUGAGUAACACGUGAGUAACCUGCCCUUGCCUUUUGUAUAACUUCAGGAAACUGGGGCUUAUACCGGAUAGGAGCUCCUGCUGCUUGGUGGUGGUUGGAAAGUUUCGGCGGUUGUUGAUGUACUCGCGGCUUGUCAGCUUGUUGGUGGGGUAGUGGCUUACCAAGGCUUUGACGGGUAGCCGGCCUGAGAGGGUGACCGGCAAGACUGGGACUGAGAUACGGCCCAGAAGCCUACGGGAGGGAGCAGUGGGGAAUAGUGCAAAAUGGGCAGAAGGCUGAAGCAGUGAAGCCGCGCGCGGGAUGAAGGCCUUCGGGUUGUAAACCGCGUUUGCCUGGGAUGAAGCGGGAGUGACGGUAAUGGGAAAAGAAGCACCGGCUAACUACGUG
RNAcentral lists this ribosomal RNA (468 nucleotides) under uncultured bacterium. RNAcentral describes it as "partial 16S ribosomal RNA". It matches the Rfam family "Bacterial small subunit ribosomal RNA", at positions 28 to 507 of the family's 1533-position model. The record is from RNAcentral.